GUGCCAGCCGCCGCGGUAAGACAGAGGGUGCUAGCGUUGUUCGGAAUUACUGGGCGUAAAGGGCGCGUAGGCGGCUUGGCAAGUCGAGUGUGAAAGCCCGGGGCUCAACCCCGGAACUGCAUUCGAGACUGUCCGGCUGGAGUCCGGAAGAGGAAGGUGGAAUACCCAGUGUAGAGGUGAAAUUCGUAGAUAUUGGGUGGAACACCAGUGGCGAAGGCGGCCUUCUGGUCCGGAACUGACGCUGAGGCGCGAAAGCGUGGGGAGCAAACAGGAUUAGAAACCCCCGUAGUCC
RNAcentral lists this ribosomal RNA (292 nucleotides) under uncultured bacterium. RNAcentral describes it as "partial 16S ribosomal RNA". It matches the Rfam family "Bacterial small subunit ribosomal RNA", at positions 505 to 796 of the family's 1533-position model. The record is from RNAcentral.